GACGAACGCUGGCGGCGUGCUUAACACAUGCAAGUCGAACGGAAAGGCCCUGCUUUUGUGGGGUGCUCGAGUGGCGAACGGGUGAGUAACACGUGAGUAACCUGCCCUUGACUUUGGGAUAACUUCAGGAAACUGGGGCUAAUACCGGAUAGGAGCUCCUGCUGCAUGGUGGGGGUUGGAAAGUUUCGGCGGUUGGGGAUGGACUCGCGGCUUACCAGCUUGUUGGUGGGGUAGGGGCUUACCAAGGCUUUGACGGGUAGCCGGCCUGAGAGGGUGACCGGCCACAUUGGGACUGAGAUACGGCCCAGACUCCUACGGGAGGCAGCAGUGGGGAAUAUUGCGCAAUGGGCGGAAGCCUGAUGCAGCAACGCCGCGUGCGGGAUGACGGCCUUCGGGUUGUAAACCGCUUUCGCCUGUGACGAAGCGUGAGUGACGGUAAUGGGUAAAGAAGCACCGGCUAACUACGUG
Molecule: ribosomal RNA, 468 nt
Filed under: uncultured bacterium
Lineage: Bacteria
Description: partial 16S ribosomal RNA
Rfam family: Bacterial small subunit ribosomal RNA
Source: RNAcentral